This 72-nucleotide transfer RNA is filed under the name Ornithorhynchus anatinus (platypus). It matches the Rfam family "tRNA". From Rfam's summary of the family: Transfer RNA (tRNA) molecules are approximately 80 nucleotides in length. Their secondary structure includes four short double-helical elements and three loops (D, anti-codon, and T loops). Further hydrogen bonds mediate the characteristic L-shaped molecular structure. tRNAs have two regions of fundamental functional importance: the anti-codon, which is responsible for specific mRNA codon recognition, and the 3' end, to which the tRNAs corresponding amino acid is attached (by aminoacyl-tRNA synthetases). tRNAs cope with the degeneracy of the genetic code in two manners: having more than one tRNA (with a specific anti-codon) for a particular amino acid; and 'wobble' base-pairing, i.e. permitting non-standard base-pairing at the 3rd anti-codon position. Lineage: Eukaryota; Metazoa; Chordata; Mammalia; Monotremata; Ornithorhynchidae. The record is from Rfam by way of RNAcentral.
GGCAGCGUGGCUCAGUGGAAAGAGCCUGAACCUGGGAGUCAGAGGUUACGGGUUCGAAUCCUGACUCUGCCA